Molecule: ribosomal RNA, 543 nt
Filed under: Scheffersomyces stipitis
Lineage: Eukaryota; Fungi; Ascomycota; Pichiomycetes; Serinales; Debaryomycetaceae
Description: eukaryotic LSU rRNA
Rfam family: Eukaryotic large subunit ribosomal RNA
Source: RNAcentral
GCGAGUGAAGCGGCAAAAGCUCAAAUUUGAAAUCUGGCACCUUCGGUGUCCGAGUUGUAAUUUGAAGAAGGUAACUUUGGAGUCAGCUCUUGUCUAUGUUCCUUGGAACAGGACGUCACAGAGGGUGAGAAUCCCGUGCGAUGAGAUGUCUGAUUCUAUGUAAAGUGCUUUCGAAGAGUCGAGUUGUUUGGGAAUGCAGCUCUAAGUGGGUGGUAAAUUCCAUCUAAAGCUAAAUAUUGGCGAGAGACCGAUAGCGAACAAGUACAGUGAUGGAAAGAUGAAAAGAACUUUGAAAAGAGAGUGAAAAAGUACGUGAAAUUGUUGAAAGGGAAGGGUUUGAGAUCAGACUUGGUAUUUUGUAUGUCUUGCUUUCGGGUGGGGCCUCUACAGUUUACUGGGCCAGCAUCGGUUUGGACGGUAGGAUAAUGACAUUGGAAUGUGGCACUACUUCGGUGGUGUGUUAUAGACUUUGUUGAUACUGCCUGUCUAGACCGAGGACUGCGUCUUUGACUAGGAUGCUGGCAUAAUGAUCUUAAACCGCCC